Cyanistes caeruleus (blue tit) is the source of this 882-nucleotide non-coding RNA. NCBI's taxonomy places the organism in Eukaryota, Metazoa, Chordata, Aves, Passeriformes, Paridae. The record is from RefSeq and is a predicted model, not a curated record.
UUGGAAAUCACAGACUCAAACUAGAGGAAUUCAGGCACUGAAAGAAAACAUUUUCUUCUUUUCACUUUUUUCUUUCUUAAGGAAAAAAUAAAUCAUGUUUUUUCACAGGAAGAUAGCUUGGGGAAGCUGGAUCAUCAAACAGUGCAGAGCAAAUGAGCAGAGCAAAAAGGAAUCCGCGAGGACUGGAAAUGCCUGUCCGUAGCAGAGAGAUGGAGCAGGUCUCUGUGAAAAAGCAAGAUAGAGAUUAGGUGGAAUAUUCCCUGUGGCUGUGACUUGUACAGCACUGGGGAAGCUGGGUCAUGAGGAAAAAAGACCUCUUUGCUAAUGUUUGUGUGAAGUUGUGCUUGUGGCUAAAUUUGCUUCCCUCUUGCCUGCCUCUGACUCUGCCUGCAUCUCCAACAUGGAGCUAUUUCCCAGCCUAAACUACUGCUGCAGGGCGUGCAUUUUUUGAGGCAAUGAAAUCACAUCUUUGUCUCUGUAUAAGAACCAAAAAGAGAAGUUAUAUGUGAAGCAAAAAAUGAACUAAUGAGAAGUUGAAAACUGAGCAUCCAGUAUUUAAAAUAAUCUCCUGAGCAGUUUUAUUUAACAUAUUCCUCAUACUGGAAGUGAUUACUUUCUUCCUGUUUGUGGCCACAACCUUGUCAGUUUGGAUGAAGACAACCUAUUGCACCAGGACAGAUCAUAGCUCAAGAGCUCCAACUAGAACAUCAACCCCAAGGCCUGCCUGAUGCAGUGUUUGUACAACACUUAGCAUGAAGAGUCCAUUGAGCUGGGAAAAAUCAGCAGAAGUUAUUGCCAAGGACGGACUUGAUAAUCAGAUCUUGAAAAAGAAAAAAAAACCCUAGAAGUUUGUGCUUGUGCUGGAGUAAUUCCAGUUACAGG